This 460-nucleotide ribosomal RNA is filed under the name uncultured bacterium. Its description in RNAcentral is "partial 16S ribosomal RNA". It matches the Rfam family "Bacterial small subunit ribosomal RNA", at positions 338 to 795 of the family's 1533-position model. The record is from RNAcentral.
CCUACGGGAGGCAGCAGUGAGGAAUAUUGGUCAAUGGACGAGAGUCUGAACCAGCCAAGUAGCGUGAAGGAUGACUGCCCUAUGGGUUGUAAACUUCUUUUAUAUGGGAAUAAAACGUUCCACGUGUGGGAUUUUGUAUGUACCAUAUGAAUAAGGAUCGGCUAACUCCGUGCCAGCAGCCGCGGUAAUACGGAGGAUCCGAGCGUUAUCCGGUUUUAUUGGGUUUAAAGGGAGCGUAGGUGGAUUGUUAAGUCAGUUGUGAAAGUUUGCGGCUCAACCGUAAAAUUGCAGUUGAAACUGGCAGUCUUGAGUACAGUAGAGGUGGGCGGAAUUCGAGGUGUAGCGGUGAAAUGCUUAGAUAUCACGAAGAACUCCGAUUGCGAAGGCAGUUCACUGGACUGCAACUGACACUGAGGCUCGAAAGUGUGGGUAUCAAACAGGAUUAGAUACCCCGGUAGUC